GCUCGUGUCGUGAGAGUGUUGGGUUUAAGUCCCGUAACGAGCGCAACCCUUGUCCUUAGUUACCAGCACGUUAUGGUGGGCACUCUAAGGAGACUGCCGGUGACAACCGGAGGAAGGUGGGGAUGACGUCAAGUCAUCAUGGCCCUUACGGCCUGGGCUACACACGUGCUACAAUGGUCGGUACAAAGGGUUGCCAAGCCGCGAGGUGGAGCUAAUCCCAUAAAACCGAUCGUAGUCCGGAUCGCAGUCUGCAACUCGACUGCGUGAAGUCGGAAUCGCUAGUAAUCGUGAAUCAGAAUGUCACGGUGAAUACGUUCCCGGGCCUU
RNAcentral lists this ribosomal RNA (326 nucleotides) under uncultured Pseudomonas sp. RNAcentral describes it as "bacterial SSU rRNA". It matches the Rfam family "Bacterial small subunit ribosomal RNA", at positions 1058 to 1382 of the family's 1533-position model. Lineage: Bacteria; Pseudomonadati; Pseudomonadota; Gammaproteobacteria; Pseudomonadales; Pseudomonadaceae. The record is from RNAcentral.